UACGUAGGGUGCGAGCGUUAUUCGGAAUUACUGGGCGUAAAGCGUGCGCAGGCGGCUUUGUAAGUCAGAUGUGAAAGCCCCGGGCUUAACCUGGGAAUGGCAUUUGGGACUGCAAGGCUUGAGUGCGGCAGAGGAGACUGGAAUUCCUGGUGUAGCAGUGAAAUGCGUAGAUAUCAGGAGGAAUACCGAUGGCGAAGGCAGGUCUCUGGGCUGACACUGACGCUCAUGCACGAAAGCGUGGGGAGCAAACAGG
This 253-nucleotide ribosomal RNA is filed under the name uncultured bacterium. RNAcentral describes it as "partial 16S ribosomal RNA". It matches the Rfam family "Bacterial small subunit ribosomal RNA", at positions 524 to 776 of the family's 1533-position model. The record is from RNAcentral.